UGGCUCAGAACGAACGCUGGCGGCAGGCCUAACACAUGCAAGUCGAACGCCGUAGCAAUACGGAGUGGCAGACGGGUGAGUAACACGUGGGAACGUACCUUUCGGUUCGGAAUAACUCAGGGAAACUUGAGCUAAUACCGGAUACGUGCGAGAGCAGAAAGAUUUAUCGCCGAAAGAUCGGCCCGCGUCCGAUUAGCUUGUUGGUGAGGUAACGGCUCACCAAGGCGACGAUCGGUAGCUGGUCUGAGAGGAUGAUCAGCCACACUGGGACUGAGACACGGCCCAGACUCCUACGGGAGGCAGCAGGUGGGGAAUAUUGGACAAUGGGCGCAAGCCUGAUCCAGCCAUGCCGCGUGAGUGAUGACGGCCUUAGGGUUGUAAAGCUCUUUCGCCAGGGACGAUAAUGACGGUACCUGGAUAAGAAGCCCCGGCUAACUUCGUG
This 442-nucleotide ribosomal RNA is filed under the name uncultured bacterium. RNAcentral's name for it is "bacterial SSU rRNA". It matches the Rfam family "Bacterial small subunit ribosomal RNA", at positions 20 to 507 of the family's 1533-position model. The record is from RNAcentral.